This 32-nucleotide non-coding RNA is filed under the name Homo sapiens (human). The record is from RNAcentral. Lineage: Eukaryota; Metazoa; Chordata; Mammalia; Primates; Hominidae.
UAGUCACCAGAAAGACCAAACCUUGAUAAGCA